GACGUAGGGGGCCAGCGUUGUUCGGAAUUACUGGGUGUAAAGGGUUCGUAGGCGGUGCGGCAAGUCGGGAGUGAAAUCUCUGGGCUUAACCCAGAGGCUGCUUCCGAAACUGCUGUGCUUGAAUGUGGGAGAGGCGCGUGGAAUUGCAGGUGUAGCGGUGAAAUGCGUAGAUAUCUGCAGGAACACCCGUGGCGAAAGCGGCGCGCUGGACCACUACUGACGCUGAGGAACGAAAGCUAGGGGAGCAAACAGG
This 253-nucleotide ribosomal RNA is filed under the name uncultured bacterium. RNAcentral describes it as "partial 16S ribosomal RNA". It matches the Rfam family "Bacterial small subunit ribosomal RNA", at positions 524 to 776 of the family's 1533-position model. The record is from RNAcentral.